GUCCCCGUAGCUCAACGGAUAGAGCACUGGCCUCCGGAGCCAGGGAUGCAGGUUCGAUUCCCGCCGGGGACG
RNAcentral lists this transfer RNA (72 nucleotides) under Candidatus Omnitrophota bacterium. RNAcentral's name for it is "tRNA-Arg". It matches the Rfam family "tRNA". From Rfam's summary of the family: Transfer RNA (tRNA) molecules are approximately 80 nucleotides in length. Their secondary structure includes four short double-helical elements and three loops (D, anti-codon, and T loops). Lineage: Bacteria; Pseudomonadati; Candidatus Omnitrophota. The record is from RNAcentral.